GCUUCAUGAUGAUAUCAAGGCAAAUGUGACCUCAUUGGCAGGCAGCUUCCUCAACCCAUUGCCUAUCUAGAGGUCUGUAAUCUUGGUGGUCAAUGCAAAGUAAUAUGUGUCCGCUGUAAGGGCAGGCCAACAGUAUAUCCCAUUCCUUCUGCCUUUCUCCCUGGAGAAGGUAUCCAUCUCUUGCAAAGUAUCGCAAAGCGUGGUCAAGGGUGUGGGCACAGGACAAGCUUAGUGUAUCUGGGUUAUGGGUUGCUGGGUGCUGCCAGAGUUAUGGCUGUUGGGGCAUCAUGAGCACAAGUCUUUGGUAAUCUGAAAGCU
Small nucleolar RNA from Rhineura floridana, 318 nucleotides. Lineage: Eukaryota; Metazoa; Chordata; Lepidosauria; Squamata; Rhineuridae. The record is from RefSeq and is a predicted model, not a curated record.